CUAAUACUAGCCCACACAACACAAAACUCAACUAUCAUCACAAAUUAAACCAAAACAUUUACCAUAAAUAAAAGUAUAGGAGAUAGAAAUUAUAAUUGGCGCUAUAGAGACAGUACCGCAAGGGAAAGAUGAAAGAAAUAUUAAAAGUAAAAAACAGCAAAGAUUAUCCCUUGUACCUUUUGCAUAAUGAUUUAACCAGAACAAUCUGACAAAGAGAACUAAAGCCAAGUGACCCGAAACCAGACGAGCUACUCAAAAGCAGCUAAAGAGCAAACUCGUCUAUGUAGCAAAAUAGUGAGAAGACUUUUGAGUAGAGGUGAAAAGCCAAUCGAGCCUGGUGAUAGCUGGUUGUCCAAAAUAGAAUUUCAGUUCAACAUUAAGUCAUGCCUACAAAAAUUAUAAUUAAAAUGCAGACUUAAUAUAUAAUCUAAAAGGGUACAGCCUUUUAGAAACAGAAUACAACCUUAAUCAGAGAGUAAGUACAACACAACACCAUAGUUGGCCUAAAAGCAGCCACCAAUUAAGAAAGCGUUCAAGCUCAACAAACCCAUUAAACUAUAAUAAUAAUAAUAACAUACGAACCCCUGACCUAACAUUGGACCACUCUAUUAAAAAAUAGAAGAGAUACUGUUAAUAUGAGUAACAAGAAUUAACUUCUCCUAGCACAAGCCUAUAUUAGCUAACGGAUAAUCCACUAAUAAUUAACAGUAAGAUUAAUACAACACCACAACUAAAACAAUUAUCCAAUCAACUGUUAACCCAACACAGGAGUGCACCCAAGGAAAGAUUAAAAGAAGUAAAAGGAACUCGGCAAACACAAACCCCGCCUGUUUACCAAAAACAUCACCUCUAGCAUAACAACUAUUAGAGGCACUGCCUGCCCAGUGACAUCUGUUAAACGGCCGCGGUAUCCUGACCGUGCAAAGGUAGCAUAAUCAUUUGUUCUCUAAAUAAGGACUUGUAUGAAUGGCCACACGAGGGUUUUACUGUCUCUUACUUCCAAUCAGUGAAAUUGACCUUCCCGUGAAGAGGCGGGGAUAAAUUAAUAAGACGAGAAGACCCUAUGGAGCUUUAAUUAAUUUGCCUACAGACAACUAAACUCUAUCUCGAAAGGGUAUAAAAAAUGCUCUAAUAGGCUGACAAUUUAGGUUGGGGUGACCUCGGAAUAUAACAAAACUUCCGAGUGAUAAAAGUCCAGACUCACAAGUCUAAACACUGUACAUCAAUUAUUGAUCCAAUUUUUUUGAUCAACGGAACAAGUUACCCUAGGGAUAACAGCGCAAUCCUAUUUAAGAGUCCAUAUCGACAAUAGGGUUUACGACCUCGAUGUUGGAUCAGGACAUCCCAAUGGUGCAGCCGCUAUUAAUGGUUCGUUU
Molecule: ribosomal RNA, 1376 nt
Filed under: Paranyctimene raptor (unstriped tube-nosed bat)
Lineage: Eukaryota; Metazoa; Chordata; Mammalia; Chiroptera; Pteropodidae
Description: partial 16S large subunit ribosomal RNA
Rfam family: Bacterial large subunit ribosomal RNA
Source: RNAcentral